RNA transcript from Ochotona curzoniae (black-lipped pika), 3496 nucleotides. It is a transcript of the gene named COMM domain containing 6, with no coding region annotated. Lineage: Eukaryota; Metazoa; Chordata; Mammalia; Lagomorpha; Ochotonidae. The transcript has 5 exons. The record is from RefSeq and is a predicted model, not a curated record.
GAAGCGGAAGUGUUGGCAGGCGGGGGGCGUGUCUGCUGGUGUCCGCCGCGAGUCCUGGGUCCGGCCAUGGAGGGGACCAGCGAGCCGGUGCUGGAUGCUAGCUCCAGAGUCACCAACCAGCUUAUAGAUUUCCAGUGGAAACUUGGUAUGGCUGUGAGCUCGGACAGCUGCAGAUCUCUUAAGUAUCCUUAUGUUGCAGUGAUGCUGAAAGUAAUGGAUCCUGCAGGUCAAGUAAAGAGCAGAUCGUUUGAAAUGACAAUUCCACAGUUUCAGAAUUUCUACAGACAGUUCAAGGAAAUUGCUGCAGUUAUUGAAACUGUGUGAUGAUUAUCUCAUUGAUAAAUGAGCACCGAGCUUUGAAAAUGGUAGACUUCACUUUCUGCAACAGAACUGCAUAAGGAAUGUAUAUGGAAUAUCUGCUGUACUCCAGAUGUUUCACUCAUCACUUAAUACAAAGGCAGUUCCAUAGGAUCAACCGUCUGCUGGGAAAGUCAAACAUCUAAUAACUAUCACAAAAUCUAAUUGGCUAGUUCGUCAAUUUAAUCAUUUUGAAGGCUAAACAAAUCAAAUUAUGUAUGUGGCAUUGGGCAUAAAUUCUUCAUUAUACCAAAAUCCCCACUUUGCUGUGGACAUGUAACUCCUGCACUCUUUCCAAAUGAGAAUUCUACUUGUGUCAUCAUCAUCAUCAUCAUCAUCAUCAUCAUCAACCCUGCUUCACCAGCAGGUAAGAGGUAGGAAAACUGACUGACUUUGGGUUGGGUCUGUGGGUUUCUGUACAUUCUGCGUUUAAAUAUUGUGCAUCCAAUGGAAAAUGUACACUUGUAAAGGUGUGUUUUCUAAGUGUGGGAGGAUUUUCCAUGUGAUGGGGCUGGAUUGUUUCUGAUAGAGAUGUCUCUAGCUAUUUCCUUAGCUGAAAAUUAGUGGUAACAACUUCCAGUGUUGUUGUGACCAUCAGAUAUCACAUAUAAAGUACAGUAAAUCCUGAAGACAAUACUCUUAAGAAAUUUAAAUGAGAAGAAUGUUCAAUGAACAUGAAAUUUGAGAAUGGGAAAUUGUGCAAGCUCCAAGCAGCCAUCUGCAGCAUGAAAAUCUCUGCUCAGAACAACUAACAGCUAAUCAAUUUUGUCACUCCCUGCUACCGUGCUUAUGAGACACACUGACUAUGUCUCAAUUUUUGGCUGUCAUUUUCCAGUGUUAACUGCUUGCUCUUUCUUUGCUCAUAUACUCUUUCUUCAGUCAUAUUACAGAUUCAGUGUUCCUCUUUCACUUCUAUGCCAUCUUCGUACAUGGCUUAUCUGAAAAGUGCUGCAGUGUCUGGCAAUAAUACCUACAGUAAAAAGGGCAAGAAAAACACCUAAUAAAUCAGGCCAUUCUAAAAACAUCAACAGGAAAGGAAUAAGCACAAAGUGAGUUCCAGACAGAGAGCUCUGUACAGUGUACCAUACUGGACAACGAUGUGGGGUAGAUUGUAACUCAUCAAUUGAAGAUGAGUAUUCUGAAGUUCAAACAAAUAACAGCAAAUCAUUUUUUUUACUCAUUACAGUCACUGUGUAUGAAAGUAAGCAUAUAGUUCUAGAUAAUCCUACUUUAUUUAAGAGACCUGUGCCUGAGAUCCUUCCUAACACAGAUGUCACAGACAAUAUCCUGUCACCAGUAAAAGAGAAUUUCUCAUCAAUGGCUUGCAACGUUGGUUACAAUGUUGUAAUCACAAUAAAACAAACUGUAACCAAAUGUUAGUUUCUUGAAUUGCAAAGUUUAGACUUGAUUAGUAACACAUUUAUGUACUCUUUAUUUUCUUGGAGCACAAAUGACUGAAUCCCGAGUUAAUGAUUCCAAGUAGCUCAAGGGAAGGCCACUGGUCUUGAAAACCACGGUAAGUUUUGGUAAUUCUAUCAGCUGUGCUGAUAGGACUCAAGUACAAUUGAAUUCAGUGGAAAGAGACAGCCAUAAAGGGAAAGGAGAGGGGCCCGAACUACAGGCGACACCAGCUGCCAGUUUCCAAGUGUGCCAGUGGAGUCACAGAGGACAUGCUUCAUUCUUCAACAAGUUGUGACACAGUGUGUGAAAUGUGCCACCCACAGGCAUUAGCAGGGAAUUGGAUCCUAAGUGAAACAGCUGAAAUUCACUCACAUGGGAUGCAGGCACCAUAGGGAGAGAAGUAACCAAUUAUGCCAUCCCGCUGGUCCUGAACCUUGCCUUUCAAAUCAAUAAGCAAAUUUUUAAAAAAUGAUAAAUAGUCAUGCCUGAAAUGUUAACUUCUUUGUACAAGGACAACAAGAAUAAAAAUUCUGGCGGUAUCCUGCUAUGUAGCUUUAUAUAUAUUACUGCAAAAACUAACUACUCUUGGGUUAUUUCAUUAAUAUUAAUCUAUCGUGAAUUAUAUUGAAUGGAGAAUGCUAGCAUAAAUUUUGCCUGUACAUCCUGUACAUUCUACUAUGUUUAUUAAGAACUUUAGAAUUUAAAUAUUAAAACAUUUCAGACUUGAAUAUUUGUUAUGUGUGUCAUCAGUUAAAUGAAAACUUUAUUUCAUGUGACAUUUUCAUAUGAGUGUGCUGAUUUUAGUACCAUGUAAAUUUGAUAAGGGAGCUAUUACAGCUGUUGAUUUAACCACUGCUCCACAGCACACAGAAAUACUAAGUAUAAUAGAUUGCAUAUCUUAAUGGACUUGCUCUUGAUUUAUGUUCCUUCGAAUUACAGGUGUCCCAGGAGAAAAAGGCUAUUAAUCCUUUGACUAGUUACUAUUUUAGCACAGGAGGAACAUUUGUUAAGGAAAAGCACUUACAUGUCUUACUGUAUUUCAUAUUCCUGCACCAAGGAGAAGAGCAAAGAAAUGUUCCAUGUGCCAUUAAAAAAUCAUUAUUAUCAAGAAAAGACUAGCAAGAGGUAGGGAAAUCUCACAUUCUAUUUUAGUAUUUGUGCUGCCAAAGCGAGCACAGAUCUCAGAUUCUAAACCAUAAUAAGGCAAGCAAUAGGUUUGAGGAGCUCAGGCAGAAAUUAACAUUCUGACCCAGAAGGGUCAAGGCUGAUGGUAAACCCACAUCCGAUUCAGAGCUUUUGAGUCAUAUACUAGGUACUGUUAGACCUUUGUUUUGAGCAAAAUAAACAGCCACCCACAAGUAACCCUAAGACUGACCAAAGCUCGCUUUGUUGCAAUCAAAAUCCCCCCAAAACACAAUAUUUCUGAUCAGUCAAAGGAGGACCUUUUACUAAUGCGUGUCCUAGGAAGGAGCAGGUGAUGACUCCCUGGUUGGGUCUCUGCUUUCUCACGCAUGACCUAGACAGAAUUUGAGGUUCUAGGCUUUAGGCUAGACCAUCUCUGGUUGCUGCUGGCAUUUUGUGAGUGAACCAGAGAAUGGAAGAUCUCUGUUCUCUCUGUCUUGCUGCCUUUCAAAGAAAUGAAAGUAACAAUUUUAAACAUUGAAAAUACAGUGGAACUAAUACAAACAUAAUCACACUAAAACAUCAAAUAUACAAAUAUGAUAGAAAUAUAUUAUUC